RNAcentral lists this ribosomal RNA (896 nucleotides) under Mirandina corticola. Its description in RNAcentral is "LSU rRNA". It matches the Rfam family "Eukaryotic large subunit ribosomal RNA", at positions 34 to 966 of the family's 3401-position model. Lineage: Eukaryota; Fungi; Ascomycota; Leotiomycetes; Helotiales. The record is from RNAcentral.
CUAAGCAUAUCAAUAAGCGGAGGAAAAGAAACCAACAGGGAUUGCCUCAGUAACGGCGAGUGAAGCGGCAAGAGCUCAAAUUUUAAAUCUGCCUUUUAGGCCGAGUUGUAAUUUGUAGAGGAACGUUCGGUGACGUCUAGGUCCGAGUCUUCUGGAAGGAAGCGCCGAUGAGGGUGAGAGCCCCGUACGACCAACGACUUAGCCAUGUGAACGUCCUUCGAAGAGUCGAGUUGUUUGGGAAUGCAGCUCAAAGCGGGUGGUAAAUUCCAUCUAAAGCUAAAUAUUGGCCAGAGACCGAUAGCGCACAAGUAGAGUGAUCGAAAGAUGAAAAGCACUUUGGAAAGAGAGUGAAAAAGUACGUGAAAUUGUUGAAAGGGAAGCGCUCGCGACCAGACUUGAUCGUUCAGUUCAAGGGUUCUUCUGGACCCGGUACUUCUGUCUGAUCAGGCCAACAUCAGUUCGGACGGUUGGAUAAAAGCUUUGGGAACGUGGCUCCUCGGAGUGUUAUAGCCCUUUGCACAAUACAGCCAGACCGGACUGAGGAAUGCCUUUUGUAGGAUGUUGGCGUAAUGGUUGCCAGCGGCCCGUCUUGAAACACGGACCAAGGAGUCUAACAUCCAUGCGAGUGUUUGGGUGGAAAACCCGCACGCGAAAUGAAAGUGAACGGAGGUGGGAGCUUCGGCGCACCAUCGACCGAUCCUGAUGUCCUCGGAAGGAUUUGAGUACGAGCAUGGCUGUUGGGACCCGAAAGAUGAUGAACUAUGCGUGAAUAGGGCGAAGCCAGAGGAAACUCUGGUGGAGGCUCGCAGCGGUUCUGACGUGCAAAUCGAUCGUCAAAUUUGCGUAUAGGGGCGAAAGACUUAUCGAAUCAUCUAGUAGCUGGGUUCCUGCCGAAG